RNAcentral lists this unclassified non-coding RNA (285 nucleotides) under plant metagenome. RNAcentral's name for it is "partial contains small subunit ribosomal RNA, internal transcribed spacer 1, and 5.8S ribosomal RNA". The stretch from base 1 to 54 matches the Rfam family "Eukaryotic small subunit ribosomal RNA", at positions 1778 to 1831 of the family's 1831-position model. The record is from RNAcentral.
GGAAGUAAAAGUCGUAAUAAGGUCUCCGUAGGUGAACCUGCGGAAGGAUCAUUAUUGUAUAACCGAGGUGCGAGGGCUGUCGCUGACCCGAAAGGUCGUGCACGCCCGAGUGCCCUCACACACAUCCAUCUCACCCCUAUGUGCACCACCGCGUGGGUCCCCCUUUGGCUUGUUCGGAGGGGGGCUUACGUUUUCACACAAACUUUGUAUGCAGUGUAGAAUGUAUUUUUUGUUUUUGCGAUCACGCAAUCAAUACAACUUUCAACAACGGAUCUCUUGGCUCUC